RNAcentral lists this ribosomal RNA (429 nucleotides) under Actinomycetes bacterium. Its description in RNAcentral is "Actinobacteria bacterium partial 16S ribosomal RNA". It matches the Rfam family "Bacterial small subunit ribosomal RNA", at positions 355 to 776 of the family's 1533-position model. Lineage: Bacteria; Bacillati; Actinomycetota; Actinomycetes. The record is from RNAcentral.
UAGGGAAUCUUCCGCAAUGGGCGAAAGCCUGCCGGAGCAACGCCGCGUGAGUGAUGAAGGUCUUCGGAUCGUAAAACUCUGUUAUUAGGGAAGAACAAAUGUGUAAGUAACUAUGCACGUCUUGACGGUACCUAAUCAGAAAGCCACGGCUAACUACGUGCCAGCAGCCGCGGUAAUACGUAGGUGGCAAGCGUUAUCCGGAAUUAUUGGGCGUAAAGCGCGCGUAGGCGGUUUUUUAAGUCUGAUGUGAAAGCCCACGGCUCAACCGUGGAGGGUCAUUGGAAACUGGAAAACUUGAGUGCAGAAGAGGAAAGUGGAAUUCCAUGUGUAGCGGUGAAAUGCGCAGAGAUAUGGAGGAACACCAGUGGCGAAGGCGAAUUUCUGGUCUGUAACUGACGCUGAUGUGCGAAAGCGUGGGGAUCAAACAGG